GGCGCGAUAACAGCUGUUGGCCGCCGUCGGUAAUUUUUGGCCGGGGAAUUAGGGGGCUUCUUCUAACUAGGAUUAGAUACCCUAUUAUUUUGAGUGUUAAUGUUUUUGCCUGAGUAGUAUUAGUUGUGUUCUUGAAACUUAAAGAAUUUGGCGGUAUCCUAUUCCGUUCAGAGGAAUCUGUCUCGUUAUCGAUAGUCCGCGUUGGACCUUACUUAGAGUUAUAUUUUUGGUUUGUAUACCGCCGUUUAUUGAUUAUCUUUUUAGAGUUCCUUAAUUUUCUGGUUUCUUUAAUUUGAUUUAUUGCAGGUCAAGGUGCAGCUUUUUCUAAGUGUAAUGAUGGAUUACAGUGUUAUGUGUUGUUUGGAUUGUUUAUUUUAAUAUUGACAUGAAAUUGGAUUUGGUUGUAAUGUCUUGUAGAUUGUUUUCAUGAUAGUUGGUUCUAGGAUAUGUACACAUUCGAACCUUGGCCCGCUC
This 474-nucleotide ribosomal RNA is filed under the name Odontotermes mathuri. RNAcentral describes it as "partial 12S ribosomal RNA". The record is from RNAcentral. Lineage: Eukaryota; Metazoa; Arthropoda; Insecta; Blattodea; Termitidae.